GAGCGCACCUCCAGGAAACUACUGACUUCAAUACGAACCCAAGAGUUUUCAGGCCAAUUCACAGUCUGCACGUCACAAGCGAUAAGAUUUAAUCGGCUGGAUUACAACGCCGCCGAUCCUGAAGGAAUGGAAACCCUGGAUGAAGACCUACAACAAAGUUACUGUACGCCCAACACAUAAUGUGAAUCAAACAUGGGAGCAAACUAGAUGAAGGGAGUGCGUGUGGACUGAGGAGGAAGGAGUCUCCGACGGAAAACUUUGAGCUCAAGAAAGACAGUAGCCAGAAGGUGUCGUUUUAUUGGUUUGUUUUGCUCAGCCUUGCAUGACAUUUCUUCUCAAAUGGACCUGGUAGUGGGUUUAAAGCACAAUGAAGGCGGCAGGAGUCAUCUGCAUCUGAAUGGCGCUUUAAGUGAGUAUGUUUCUUUCUGGCUGAGUCACAGAAGAAGGUUUACUGCUGCGAGUGAAUCGAGGCAGAAACGCAGGAUGCUUUCGUGCUGUGUGUGUGCAGGCGGAGCAGGAAGACGUCCAGCUGGUGUCUGUUCUGUUCACCUGUGGAGCGCUCGCUCGCUGGGACACGGCCGUCUACACGCUGAACACUGAAGCAAGGCUCUGGACACUGAGCCGCAAAUGUUGCAUGCUAAUAACGACUUCCUGUGUGACCCAACAGAGCAUCAACAGGGUACUGAAGCUUCAGAAAGCAGCAUUCACCUCAAGAUGAUUGUUGUCUUACUGGAGACAUUUGAAAGCAUGAUGAAAUGUACUUAUUGGCUAGAGAGAAACAUUAAAAUCAAACUGAAAUCAAAA
Molecule: long non-coding RNA, 804 nt
Organism: Carassius auratus (goldfish)
Lineage: Eukaryota; Metazoa; Chordata; Actinopteri; Cypriniformes; Cyprinidae
Exons: 2
Source: RefSeq, a predicted model, not a curated record